GGGACUUUGCACGGGCUUAUCUCUUGUACCAUUUGUGUUCAUAAAAGUUAUUUUAACUUUUCAGGUUGAUUGCCCCCUGGGGUCAGGGAGGAAUACAAAGACAAAGACGCAUGUUACCAAGAGGCUACAAAGAGGCCAUCAAGAGAACCGCCACCAGGGGAGAAACCAAUUCCAUCAUUUCUGCCCUUCCGCCUGCUGGAGGAAGAGAGACAAGUCACUGACAGAAUGAGCACAAAUCACUCACAUUAAGUAGACUUUGCUCACUGGAGUUUGCAAACAAAAUCUAAAAGUACAGACAACAACAAAACACAAGAGACAACCAAGAGCUCCAGUACGGCCGGUGACUCCAG
This 350-nucleotide long non-coding RNA is filed under the name Cricetulus griseus (Chinese hamster). Its description in RNAcentral is "lncRNA (ENSCGRG00000025989.1)". The record is from RNAcentral. Lineage: Eukaryota; Metazoa; Chordata; Mammalia; Rodentia; Cricetidae.